GAAACCAGGAGUGACAUUGUCUGA
Molecule: non-coding RNA, 24 nt
Filed under: Arabidopsis thaliana (thale cress)
Lineage: Eukaryota; Viridiplantae; Streptophyta; Magnoliopsida; Brassicales; Brassicaceae
Source: RNAcentral